RNAcentral lists this ribosomal RNA (433 nucleotides) under uncultured bacterium. Its description in RNAcentral is "partial 16S ribosomal RNA". It matches the Rfam family "Bacterial small subunit ribosomal RNA", at positions 29 to 507 of the family's 1533-position model. The record is from RNAcentral.
AACGAACGCUGGCGGCAUGCCUAACACAUGCAAGUCGAACGAGACCUUCGGGUCUUGUGGCGCACGGGUGCGUCACGCGUGGGAACCUGCCCUUAGGUUCGGAAUAACUCCCCGACAGGGGUGCUAAUACCGGAUAAUGUCUUCGGCCCAAAGAUUUAUCGCCUUUGGAUGGGCCCGCGUUGGAUUAGCUAGUUGGUAGGGUAAAAGCCUACCACGGCGACGAUCCAUAGCUGGUCUGAGAGGAUGAUCAGCCACACUGGGACUGAGACACGGCCCAGACUCCUACGGGAGGCAGCAGUGGGUAAUAGUGGACAGUGGGCGAAAGCCUGAUCCAGCAAUGCCGCUUGAGUGAUGAAGUCCUUAGGGUUGUAAAGCUCUUUUACCCGGGAUGAUAAUGACAGUACCGGGAGAAUAAGCUCCGGCUAACUCCGUG